GGUCCGAGUACACAGUUAUCGUCCUUUGAUUUUCGUUGUCCACAAGUAUAGUCCCUAGUGUGGACAGUGUGUUACUUGCCAUUUUUUUUGGACCAAUUCCAAUAUUAUUUUUUCAUGUUUUAUGCCUCAUAUAACAAGUAGGGGGAUGAAAUUACACUGUAGAAAAAUGUGGGUCAAGAAUUUGAAAGUCAAGUAGUGAUUUGGUCCAGCUAAAAAGGUUAAAAAUUAGCAUUUCGGAAGCUGUCAAAAGAUUUCAAGACCCCCUUAACAUAAAAUUGUCCAUAUUUUGAGUUAGAGCUGAUGAAGUUUCUAUUAUU
RNAcentral lists this long non-coding RNA (317 nucleotides) under Mytilus galloprovincialis (Mediterranean mussel). The record is from RNAcentral. Lineage: Eukaryota; Metazoa; Mollusca; Bivalvia; Mytilida; Mytilidae.